GAAAUGCGAUAAGUAAUGUGAAUUGCAGAAUUCAGUGAAUCAUCGAAUCUUUGAACGCACAUUGCGCCCGCCAGUGUUCUGGCGGGCAUGCCUGUUCGAGCGUCAUUACAACCCUCAGGCCCCCGGGCCUGGCGUUGGGGAUCGGCGGAAGCCCCCUGCGGGCACAACGCCGUCCCCCAAAUACAGUGGCGGUCCCGCCGCAGCUUCCAUUGCGUAGUAUCUAACACCUCGCAACUGGAGAGCGGCGCGGCCACGCCGUAAAACACCCAACUUCUGAAUGUUGACCUCGAAUCAGGUAGGAAUACCCGCUGAACUUAAGC
RNAcentral lists this unclassified non-coding RNA (320 nucleotides) under plant metagenome. RNAcentral describes it as "partial contains 5.8S ribosomal RNA, internal transcribed spacer 2, and large subunit ribosomal RNA". The stretch from base 1 to 105 matches the Rfam family "5.8S ribosomal RNA", at positions 50 to 154 of the family's 154-position model. The record is from RNAcentral.